CCCUUAGAUGUUCUGGGCCGCACGCGUGCUACACUGAUUACUUCAACAAGUGUUUUAACUGGAGAGUUUGCGUAAUCCUGAAAUGUUAUCGUGAUGGGAGUAGAGUAUUGUAUUUGUUAAUCUUUAACGAGGAAUUCCUAGUAAGUGUAGGUUUAUAAGUUGUUCUGAUUACGUCCCUGCCCUUUGUACACACCGCCCGUCGCUCCUACCGAUUGAUUGAUCCGGUGAAUUACAUAGAAUUUUGCGUUUUACAUGACGGAAGAUGAAGUGUUUUAAACCUUAUCAUUUAGAGGAAGGAGAAGUCGUAACA
Molecule: ribosomal RNA, 310 nt
Filed under: uncultured eukaryote
Lineage: Eukaryota
Description: partial 18S ribosomal RNA
Rfam family: Eukaryotic small subunit ribosomal RNA
Source: RNAcentral